AAUCAACGCUGGCGGCGUGCCUAACACAUGCAAGUCGAACGCGAAGGUCCCGCAAGGGAUUGGUAGCGUGGCAAACGGGUGAGUAACACGUGGGUGACCUGCCUUCGAGUGGGGGAUAACGUCCCGAAAGGGACGCUAAUACCGCAUGACAUCCUGCCUUUGAAGAGGCGGAGAUCAAAGGCCGGGGAUCGCAAGACCUGGCGCUUGAAGGAGGGGCCCGCGCCUGAUUAGCAGUUGGUGGGGUAAUGGCUCACCAAGGCAACGAUCAGUAUCCGGCCUGGA
RNAcentral lists this ribosomal RNA (282 nucleotides) under uncultured bacterium. RNAcentral describes it as "partial 16S ribosomal RNA". It matches the Rfam family "Bacterial small subunit ribosomal RNA", at positions 32 to 296 of the family's 1533-position model. The record is from RNAcentral.